UGGUGCUGAGUGCAGGGGGCAUGCACAGUACCCUGUUUUUGCUCCCGGCUCUUCAGAAGUGGCAGUUGGGUUUUGGGGGUCUUUUUGUAUCUCGUUGCCCAGAAUUUGCCCCAACGGCACAUGCACACAGUUAUUUUUAGUCCCUUAUAGUUUCUUUGUAUUUUGUUGCUCAAGGAGACGUUUGUCCAGGUGCAAGCACUGCAGCAAAGGGUCCCAGGGCCCAGAGCCCAGCCUGCCGGGUCCCAUAAAAGACUGUCCUUUGGGGUCGAUGAUGCCCAGACUGGGUGAGCCGGUCCCCUGAUCACGUGCUUGGGGGUCAGGGCAAAGUCAAGUUGCUAUAGAAACGGUGGUUUCUGUACUUUUGGCUGAGGCAGAGUUGCAAGCACAAACCUUUAGCAUUAUGAGCAGAACUGAAAAUUAUAAAGCUAUGUAUAAAAAUCCUUUUAACAAUGCUGAACCACGGGAGUCUGCUUUGUUACUUUACUAAGUGCAAUGAACAUAGUUUUCCUUUCCUUUGUAAUUGUUUCCUUUUCUUUCCAUUAUUCUCAAGGAUUGAAGCCAGUGCCGUGGCCUCAGAACCCUCUGAGACCAGGGGUGUGGCUGGCGCAGGAAGCAGAGGGAAUCUGUUCUGACCUCGGGCGGAGCCCCAUGCGUGCCUCACCGUAUCACUGAAUAUGUGCAGGACCGAGGGCCGGGAGGGGGAGGCUCAUCCUCUCCAGUCGAAAGCAAAGGGCAAAGCCCAAGCAGCAGGCGUUUCAGAAGCCCUCCAGGUGGUUCCCAUCUGCAACCAGAUGGUUUGAAAACCAUCGCACCUGGCCAGGGGGCAGUCCCCGGGCGAGUCUAGAAGCUGGAGAAGUACGAAACAGGCGCCGGGCAGCGGAGGAGGAGACGAGAAACCCGGGUGGAGGCGGGCGGGGAGACAAAGCCUGAAGUGACCUUUUGGAGAGGAGGUGACCAGGGUUUAAGGAGAGGCGGGGCAGAUUUGGAAAGAUGGAGGUCAGUUUGGGAUUUGGAAGGGUUGCUGCCGACUCAGUCCAUCAGAGGGAGGUGAGCCGGGCAUCGAGGGUGCAGGUUUCCUGGCCGUCGCUGUGAGUGGGGAACCUGGGCUUUGGCAGCUGGGCUGGGGGGCUCCUGUUAGCAGUUUAGAACGUGAGGGCUGGUAGGCAAACGUGAGUUUUAAAGUGACUGGGGAAGGACCCCUGGUUCUGCAGAUACUGGGGACGGCAGAAGGCAGCGUCUCAGUAACGUUCAGCUCCGGAAAGUUAAACCCAGAGAGGCCACACGUGGUUCUGCUCACCCCUUCCCAGAGGCUGACAGUUCCUCCUAAGGCCGAGAGUUUUGCUGGUUCGUUGUCUGUGGGCUGGUAGGAGAGAGUGAAUGGCAACCUCAGGACAGGAGCUCGACAGGCACAGGUCCAGCCUGGGAAGGGUUAGCUUUGAGGUUGUGGAGCCGGCAUGAGGCACGAGUCCCACACGACCCUGAUAGAGCCCCCAGCCCCAAGUUUCCUGUGUCCUUCCUGAAGAUCAGAAGGGACAGAACAUGAGGUGGGAGAGGACAGAUCAGGGAGCAGACACUGAACAGAGGUGCUGUAGAGGGUUCGCCAUAUUCUGCGUUCGCUCCUUACGUGGGCUCUUGUGCGCCCACCCCAGCCGGUGCCGCGGAGUGUUGGUGCAGGAAGACCUUUGGGAAGAGAGUAAAGCAUCGUGCGGGAAUCUGCGCGCCGAACCAGUGCUGGGCCUCGGGCCUGGGGUGGUCAGCAGUGAGUUGAAGGUGUUCCCUUUGGACCUUAGAGCUGAGCUCAUAAUUAUGGGAUGAGUUCUCGGGCGCUGUUCCAAGUUUUAGAUGCUUUAACUCAUUAGUUACAUGUAAUAACUCACCUAACGAGUUAAAAUAAUGGCUCCGUGCCAACUAUUAGGUUAAAUGUUGAUGCAAUUAUGUUAAUUGUGAAUGGAAGGUAAAAUAAAAACAU
Long non-coding RNA from Lagenorhynchus albirostris (white-beaked dolphin), 1969 nucleotides. RefSeq lists it as uncharacterized. The transcript is spliced from 3 exons. The record is from RefSeq and is a predicted model, not a curated record. Lineage: Eukaryota; Metazoa; Chordata; Mammalia; Artiodactyla; Delphinidae.